AUGAAGAAGAAACAAGCCUCACUCUCGGAGCAAAUUCUUGCUUUGAGUAACCCUACUCCUGCAGAAAGUCCAGACGAUUUUUGGGAUGAAAACACAACGGCCAAGGUAGCCGAGUUUGAUGAAGUUGACGAAGAAGUUGCGAGGCCGUCUGCUUUGAGGAAGAAGACCGCUCAUCGGUCUCUGGAUGAAGAUACCAGGUACACGGGUCUCAAGACAUCAAGAAAAAAUUGGUCUUCAUCAGGACAAGGGGAGGAUGACAACAAUGAUUAUGAAGAGGAUGAUGACGAGGAAGGAGAUGAAGUCGAUGAGGAGGAGGAGGAGGAUGAUGAGGAAGAAGACGAUGAGGAUGAAGACGAUGCACUAAUGGAGGAGGAGGAGGAAGAUGAUGAUGAUGAUGAAGAAGAGGAAGACGAAGAAGAUGGUGGUAUUGAGGGUUUCUCUCAAAUCAACGCUUCUGAGGAAGUGGAGAAAGGGAAGGCCGUCCAGUCACAGCUUGGACUAUGGGAUAGCUUCAUGGAGACUCGUAUCAAGCUUCAGAAGGCUCUUCACCUAUCCAACCAGCUCCCUCAGUGUCAGACGUUAGACAGGUUCAUGGAGGAGGAAGACGAUGGCGCAGAGUUGCAAGUUACCCUCAAGCAAAGUGAGAAAGUGCUGACUAGACUCAUGCAGUCCCUUAUCAGUCUCCAGGACACAUUACUAGAACAGAACCCAGAGACACAGCAUGUAAUUCAUGGAGAAACUCCUGGAAAGCAGUCUAUGAAUGCUGAUGAAGAGGACGACGAUGAGGAAAUACCUAGCGAUACUGACGAUGAAGGGGAGGAUGAAAAACCAAAGACUCCCGCCUCGGAGGUCGAACGAAAAUCACUGAAACGGAAAUUGGAUCCUUCAGAAUUUGGAGAGCACCUCGCUAAACAUCACAAAAACUUUGAAUCGUUCAGGAGCAAUACCAUUCAAAAGUGGUAUGAAAAGACAAGAUUAUCAACCGGAAAGUUAAAUAAAAAGUCCUUUAGUGGCUUUGAGAGGUCAGCCUUGCUACAGAUCCAGCAGAUAUUGCAAGAUCAGAACCGACUUGUGCAGAGGACUCAGCUGAAGAGGUCAGAGUUCACGGUGCUGGGUCAAAGGUUACAGGUGGAGAGCAGAGAAGAGGAAAGCGGAGAUGAGGAAACACAGGACAUACCUGAAACAGCUAACCAGCAUCUUAAGAAUUACGACCCAGAAAUCUUUGAUGAUGAUGACUUCUACCAUCAGCUAUUACGGGAGUUAAUAGAGAGAAGAACAAGCUCAACAACUGAUCCUAUCCAGCUUACUAGGCAAUGGUUACAAGUUCAGAAGCUAAGAACCAAGGUGAAAAGAAAGGUUGAUACUAAAGCAAGCAAAGGUAGAAAAGUCAGGUAUGAUGUUCACCAGAAGCUUGUGAGUUUCAUGGCACCUGAAGACACUUCACCCAUGUUACCAGAAGCCAGGAUGGAGCUCUUCAAAUCCAUCUUUGGUCAGAGUAUAGCAGAGGAGGAGACAGCAAGAUAACACAAAAUCAUCUCAUGGACUAUUAUCCUUUUAAUACAAGAGAGUGAUUAACAACUAUGAAGAUGGACAGAGCCUAGCAUAGCACACACAUGAACAUUUCAUUGGCAGUUAUCCUUAAAAUAAGAGAGAUGAAUAACUAUGAAGAUGGCAAGUCUUACAGCUGACAGUGUGUUCAAGCUUCCAAUACUCUGUGAACUUACAUGUACAGUGUAUACUCCACUCGGAUUGCAUAUUGCUGUCAUAGUAUUAUAGAUUGGUAAACAAAGGCUCUGGCAAAUAUACUGUCUCUUCAACGAAUGAUUCCAUCAUCGCUACACGAGCUCUAGCUUCAUGAAAGGAAUUACACAGCCAUCCGUAGUAGCCUGCAGGUUGCAGAAUUACACAGGCAUGAGCUGUGUGGAGAUUGUAUAAAAGAACUGUUAUAAUUUGGCAUAUAAUUAAUUGUUCUGUCAUUUGUGUACCGGUAUGUUCUAUCUUGCUUCUGUUCCUUUGUUGAUAAUGCAUAUAUGCUUUUCUAUGAUCUCUCUUGUUUGUUUGUUUUUGUUUAACAAGUGCACUCUUGAGUACCGGUAUUUGAAUUUGAGUGGAUUUAGCCCUUACAAAUCUCAUAAAUUAUUUUCAUUAUUACAUAACAUAUGUUUUAUGUUCACUUUGGCCAAAGUCCCUUAGAAUUAAUUUAAAUGAUAUAUCCCCCUGAAAAGAAAUAAGAGGUAGCUUGUUAUUUUCAUCAAUUAUUUGUGUGCAGUUGUGCAUGGGAGGGGAAAAUGAACUCCGUCUUUACCAUCAACUAAUGAGGAGAGCCCCCUACAGAAAACCAGUUUCUUUUGGUAAUCCCAAUGCAUUAGUUGAUGGCUUUUUUCUGUUAUUGUAUUUAUUACGCAUCAUGCCAUUAACAAGUGGCAGUUCACAUGUAGAAAUUGAAUAAAUUGUACUUGUAUUUUAUCAUC
RNAcentral lists this long non-coding RNA (2471 nucleotides) under Strongylocentrotus purpuratus (purple sea urchin). RNAcentral describes it as "protein AATF". The record is from RNAcentral. Lineage: Eukaryota; Metazoa; Echinodermata; Echinoidea; Camarodonta; Strongylocentrotidae.